UGAGGAACAUGACCUUCGGCGGGGGAUAGCCGGCCCAACGGCCGGGUAAUACCGCGUACGACCACAUGGGGACAUCCCUGAGUGGUGAAAGCAGCAAUGCGCCGAUGGAGUGCCUCGCGGCCUAUCAGCUAGCUGGUGAGGUAACGGCUCACCAAGGCGACGACGGGUAGCUGGUCUGAGAGGAUGGCCAGCCACAUUGGGACUGAGACACGGCCCAGAUCCCGUAACGGGG
RNAcentral lists this ribosomal RNA (232 nucleotides) under uncultured bacterium. RNAcentral's name for it is "partial 16S ribosomal RNA". It matches the Rfam family "Bacterial small subunit ribosomal RNA", at positions 118 to 346 of the family's 1533-position model. The record is from RNAcentral.